AAAAAUAUUUUUUCUAAAAUCGCUUUCAACCAUUUUAAGAGCACAUCCAAACGAGUCUAUAUUUAGUGGGAAAAACUCCAAACCAAGGAGAAAGAGCACCAUACCUAUGUUACAUAUCAGCAAAGAUUACACCAGAACUAAAUCUUAGGGUGUAUCUUCAAACCAGUAGCACCCUAUGCCAAUAUGUAAUGAAACACGGGCCAAACGAUGAGCAAUAUUAUUUGCUUGACAACGAAUAACACAUCUAUAAUUUGUGACAUAUGAUACUUUUUUUACGAUAGUGCAUGAUGAGUGAAUUUAAAUCUAUAUCUUUGAUUCAUAAAACAUAACAGUAGCUUAGCGACUUUUAUAUCGUUUAUUAGGUCAAACCAUCGUUACAAGUAUUUUAAGAAUUUGUAAUCUCCUUGGUACUAUUCUAAUUAUGAAUCCUAACGCUGCUUGUGUUUGAGAUUUAGCAUCGAGAUCAAAGUUAGAGUAGCUUUCAAUUAGUAUAUUACUUUUUAGAAGUUUUUAAUAGUUUUAUUAUCACUUCAACUUAGUGAAUUUAGUACUAGUUUGGUACUGAAGUGCUGUUAUAAAAAAUGGGUAUAAAAAAAGUUGAGUUUACAAAUGUGUUUGGUAAACACUUCAAAAUAGCUUAUUUUCACAAUUUUGGGUGUAAAAAAGCUGAAAACGUAAAGCAACAAAAAUGAGUUUAUUCUCACAGCACUAACAGAAACAGUUUGUUUUCAAAGUACAGCAAUAUCAAACCAUCAGUUCCUUCUAUGAUUAGGAGAGAUUUUUUUGUGUGUCGGUAGCAUGGUCCGUAUAUUAAAUAUCAUAAUACAAAUGUUUAGAAUUGGAUACUCGAAAAAAUAUUUUUAAAUGUUUCUAUUAUCAUUUAAAUUUACUGAGUCAUAUUCUCGACACAUAUAAAAAGUUUCUUAAAGAUUUGAACCGUGUCGUCAAUGCAGCGUGUGAAUAAAGGUAUCUUGGGCAGCCUUUCUCUGACAUGAGCAGAUAUAAUAUGAUUUCUGCAAAGCAAUAUUCAAAAGUAAUCAAUACCUUCCUUUGACUCCAAUCUACUUCAAGUUUCAGUCGCGUGUAUAAAUAUAGGGUUUGCAAUACUCGAAUAAUAAGCAACCCCUCAUUCCACAGAAGGUUUUGAAGAAUGGAUGCAAGAGAAGACCAGGCCUUUCCACUGGGAAUUCUCCAGAGGCUCUUCAACUUCCUUAUGAAAAUCAUCGAAGCUCAGUCCCUCAAGACGGUGACUCUAGGCAAGCACCGUCCGAUUUGCAACGACUUAGUUAACACCGAGGUAUUCUCCUCGUGAGUAUAACACUCGUCGCAUGAAUAUGUGAUAACUCACGUGGAAAUAUUUCUGGCGACAUGCAAGAAUCUCCUCAUCCAAUCAGUCUCUGCUCAAGCCAAAGCAGUUUAAGGAUUCAUGGUGACAAGCCAGAAGAUUUCAUGGAUAGAUUAUUCCUGAGUAUAGCUAAGUAUAUUAUCCAUGUGAUUAUUGUCAAACAUUUUAUACAACUGAUUGAAUUAAAGUGUCCUC
RNAcentral lists this long non-coding RNA (1540 nucleotides) under Malus domestica (apple). Its description in RNAcentral is "long non-coding RNA (MDOM_LNC004125)". Lineage: Eukaryota; Viridiplantae; Streptophyta; Magnoliopsida; Rosales; Rosaceae. The record is from RNAcentral.